GAGGGAGCAGCCAACGCCUUGUGUGUUGGGAUGAGGGUCACUGGAUGUAACACUGAGCAUCACUGCAUUGGUGGAGGAGGAUUCUUCCCAGAAGGUAA
This is a long non-coding RNA of Peromyscus leucopus (white-footed mouse), 98 nucleotides long. RefSeq lists it as uncharacterized. Lineage: Eukaryota; Metazoa; Chordata; Mammalia; Rodentia; Cricetidae. The record is from RefSeq and is a predicted model, not a curated record. The transcript has 2 exons.